This 489-nucleotide ribosomal RNA is filed under the name uncultured bacterium. RNAcentral describes it as "partial 16S ribosomal RNA". It matches the Rfam family "Bacterial small subunit ribosomal RNA", at positions 30 to 506 of the family's 1533-position model. The record is from RNAcentral.
AUUGAACGCUGGCGGCAGGCCUAACACAUGCAAGUCGAACGGUAACAGGAAGCAGCUUGCUGCUUCGCUGACGAGUGGCGGACGGGUGAGUAAUGUCUGGGAAACUGCCUGAUGGAGGGGGAUAACUACUGGAAACGGUAGCUAAUACCGCAUAACGUCGCAAGACCAAAGAGGGGGACCUUAGGGCCUCUUGCCAUCGGAUGUGCCCAGAUGGGAUUAGCUAGUAGGUGGGGUAACGGCUCACCUAGGCGACGAUCCCUAGCUGGUCUGAGAGGAUGACCAGCCACACUGGAACUGAGACACGGUCCAGACUCCUACGGGAGGCAGCAGUGGGGAAUAUUGCACAAUGGGCGCAAGCCUGAUGCAGCCAUGCCGCGUGGAUGAAGAAGGCCUUCGGGUUGUAAAGUACUUUCAGCGGGGAGGAAGGGAGUAAAGUUAAUACCUUUGCUCAUUGACGUUACCCGCAGAAGAAGCACCGGCUAACUCCGU